This 165-nucleotide ribosomal RNA is filed under the name Cotula coronopifolia (golden buttons). RNAcentral's name for it is "5.8S ribosomal RNA". It matches the Rfam family "5.8S ribosomal RNA". From Rfam's summary of the family: 5.8S ribosomal RNA (5.8S rRNA) is a component of the large subunit of the eukaryotic ribosome. It is transcribed by RNA polymerase I as part of the 45S precursor that also contains 18S and 28S rRNA. The record is from RNAcentral. Lineage: Eukaryota; Viridiplantae; Streptophyta; Magnoliopsida; Asterales; Asteraceae.
AAACGACUCUCGGCAACGGAUAUCUCGGCUCACGCAUCGAUGAAGAACGUAGCAAAAUGCGAUACUUGGUGUGAAUUGCAGAAUCCCGUGAACCAUCGAGUUUUUGAACGCAAGUUGCGCCCGAAGCCUUUUGGUCGAGGGCACGUCUGCCUGGGCGUCACACAU